This is a non-coding RNA of Picea glauca (white spruce), 121 nucleotides long. The record is from Rfam. NCBI's taxonomy places the organism in Eukaryota, Viridiplantae, Streptophyta, Pinopsida, Pinales, Pinaceae.
UAUUGUAAUUCCUACAUCGUUAAUGCAUCAGAUCCCAUUAGAACUCCAUAAUUAAGAAUGAUUUGGAUAGAGUAAUACUAUGAUGGGUGAUCUCCCAAGAAUUCCUAGUGUCUUACAUGAC